Harpegnathos saltator (Jerdon's jumping ant) is the source of this 956-nucleotide RNA transcript. It is a transcript of the gene named ADP-ribosylation factor 6, with no coding region annotated. The transcript has 6 exons. The record is from RefSeq and is a predicted model, not a curated record. NCBI's taxonomy places the organism in Eukaryota, Metazoa, Arthropoda, Insecta, Hymenoptera, Formicidae.
AGAAAACAGUAUUUCUGCUCUCUCUUCUGCUGUUCUUCCUUGACAAGAUGUAUCAUUAAAAUAAACAUUAACAAUGAACAAAUAUCCAUUAACAGAAAGUCAAAAGACAUUCCUCUGGGUUAGUUGUACAUGUGUUGGCAUGUAUGUAGCUUACAGAUAUUGGAAGAAACGUAAACUCAAGACGAUAAAUGAAAGAUUCGGAGAAAUAUCUAAGCUUUUAAGUAAACCUCAAAAAAGAGUAGUCUUAUUGGGAUUAAAAGGUGCUGGAAAGACUUUGUUAGUGAAUCAAAUGACUGUUUCAAAUAACAAUGACUUUAGUUAUACCAUGCCACCACAGCCUACUAAAGGUUCUCUUAUUACCAGAUUAAAAAAUGAUUUAUGUUAUUAUAAUAUAUGGGAAGUUGGUGGCAUUGAUACAUUGGACGAUGUGAUAACAUAUUGGACUAUGUUUUCAUAUGAUGUUGAUCUCAUGGUAUUUGUAAUAGAUUCUAAUGAUACAGAUAAGUUAUCUGUCAUAGCCUCAUCACUUAAACAAUUUAUAAAUAAUCCACAACUGAGUAAAACACCAAUUUUAAUAGUUGCUAAUAAACAAGAUUGCCCCAAUGCCUUAAAGCCAGAACAAGUUGAACAAGCUUUAGAUUUAUUGAGUCUCUCACACAAGCACAAGAUAGAACUAAUUGGAUGCCAAACUGAACCAUUGCCUUGUCUGUCAGAAGGAGAGACUAAUUACAAGUGGUGCCAUAGUUCCGUAGUUCUGGUUAUGAAAAAGAUGUUUUCCAUGGCUAUAUCUUGAAAUAAUAUCUCAAAAGGCAGACAUGUGUAUGAGGUUAGGGGACACUCACCACGGAAUAGAAGACGUUGACGUUGCACGAAAAACUCGCGAUCCGAAUGAACCACAUUUCUGUGAAGUUUACAAAAUUCAAAAGGCUCAUGAGGACGAAGCGACGGGAAGACCA